Molecule: ribosomal RNA, 440 nt
Filed under: uncultured bacterium
Lineage: Bacteria
Description: bacterial SSU rRNA
Rfam family: Bacterial small subunit ribosomal RNA
Source: RNAcentral
CCUACGGGGGGCAGCAGUGGGGAAUAUUGCACAAUGGGGGAAACCCUGAUGCAGCAACGCUGCGUGAGCGAUGAAGGCCUUCGGGUCGUAAAGCUCUGUCCUAAGGGAAGAAUACUGACGGUACCUUAGGAGGAAGCCCCGGCUAACUACGUGCCAGCAGCCGCGGUAAUACGUAGGGGGCUAGCGUUAUCCGGAAUUACUGGGCGGAAAGGGGGCGUAGGCGACCCUUCAAGUCAGAGGUGAAAGGUUACGGCACAAUCGUAGUAAGCCUUUGACAUUGUAGGGCUUGUGUGCAGGUGAGGAGUGUGGAAUUCCUUUUGUAGGGGGGAAUGGCGUAGAUAUUGGGAGGGACUGCAGUUGCUACGGCUGCUCUCUGGACUGUAACUGGCGCUUAGGCACGAAUGCGUGGGGUUCGAACAGGUUUAGAUACCCUUGUGGUC